UGCAGAAUCCCGUGAAUCAUCGAGUUUUUGAACGCAAGUUGCGCCCGAUGCCAUUCGGCAGAGGGCACGCCUGCCUGGGCGUCAGGUCUUGCGUCGCUCGGUGCCAACUACGCCCGUGGGUCGAAAGUGUUGGCACGGAUGCGGAGAUUGGCCUCCUGUGCCCUUGUGCGCGCGGUGGGUUGAAGAGUGGGAUGCCAAUGGAGACGGACACGACGAGUGGUGGAUGCGAGCCGGACGUCGUCGUCUCGUCCUCUAAAGGCUCGGGGGCCCCUUGUGACACCCAGUAGGGUUGCGCUGUAAGCGUUGCCUAGCAUUGCGACCCCAGGUCAGGCGGGAACACCCGCUGAAUUUAAGCAUAUCAAUAAGCGGAGGAGAAGAAACUUACGAGGAUUCCCUUAGUAACGGCGAGCGAACCGGGACAAGCCCACCUUGGGAAUCGGGCGGCUCUGUCGUUCGA
RNAcentral lists this ribosomal RNA (457 nucleotides) under Paris quadrifolia. RNAcentral's name for it is "eukaryotic LSU rRNA". The stretch from base 317 to 457 matches the Rfam family "Eukaryotic large subunit ribosomal RNA", at positions 1 to 141 of the family's 3401-position model. Lineage: Eukaryota; Viridiplantae; Streptophyta; Magnoliopsida; Liliales; Melanthiaceae. The record is from RNAcentral.